ACUGCUCCUCCUCUUCUUCCCCACUGUAUUGUGGGUAAUGGGGGUGUGCGUAAACGCGCUUGUUCUCUGGACGCCAUCUUUACUAUUGGCAGGAAGACCCGUUGCCAGGGUUACCUGAGGCCCUGAUUUAAUGAGUGGGAUGGGUACCAGAGCUCCAAUAGCAGUCCAACUAGGAGAAUAAUUUGUAGAUGGUAGGUGCCCAAUACAAUACACUACUUAUUAAACGAUGAAAAGCAGCGUAUUUCAUGGAGAAAGACAUCUUUGAAUAUGGACUUCACCAUGGCCUGGUUAGCUAAGAGUGUGACUGGAGCUUCCUGUGCAACGGCCCUGCAGAAAACCAACCUCACCGCCCAGGAACUUCAGGAAGCAGGUCGCCAACAUCAAAACUUCCAAAAAACAUCAAAAGAGACAGUUGAAGCAGUCUCAGAGGAGCCUGGCCUGGGGCUCUUCCUGCGGGCUGGUCUACCCCUUCCUUAUGGAAGGAAGGGCAAUCAGCUUUGUGGACAAGAUAUACUGCGAUGGGUAUUUUAAGUAAUACAAGCUGGUAAAGAUCAAGCUUCACUAGAAUAUUUUUGUUAAGGGUCCACAAGCACUGGGGCUUACUUCUAGGGACCCAACCAGGAACUACAGAAGCUAAGAAGACCCAAACCAGGCUCGAGCAAAGGGCAGGAGAAAAUGUGGCAGUCUGGUGGGCUGGGUGAGUUACUCAGCAGAAUUGCAUUUGUAGAGGGAGCGUGGCGGCCAGUCAUGCCUGGGGUACCCCUGCAGGGCGGGCAGGGUGGGGAGGGCUGUGUUACCUUUGGUGGUCUCGCUGUCCCGGAUCAUGAAGGAGCCCAGCAUGUUGCCCGGGGCCAGAAGUUGGCGCUCCGCAUCCUUCCGGCUGAUGCCCUUGAAGAACCACCUGGUGGAAAGGGGUGGGAGCCUUGUGUGAACCUUGGAGUAGGCCAGUCCUGUCCCACCUCCACGGGGCGCCAGGAGACGGAGUGCCUGGCUUCCUGCAGCGUUCAUUUUCCUACAAGAUUCUUUUGGGAAAAAUCACCAUUCCCAAAUGGUGAUUUGAAAUCAAAACAGAGACAUUUUUACUCGGAGUGAAUCCAGUUUGCUGAGAUAGAAACUUAUGCAAUUUGGGGAGAUUUCUUUAAGAAAAAUGAUACCAAAAGAAAGAGCCCCCCUCCCCAAAAGACUAUUAAAAAAAAACAAAAAAAGAAAAAGAAAACUGUUUUUAAAGAAAAAGAAUACAGCAUUACAAAUACAAAAUGCCCAUGGGUCAUUCCAUUGCCACCCACUGUUAGGGAUAUGGUGAUGGAUAGAAAGACGGGAAUGGUAAGGUAACAGCAGUCUUAACCAACUGUGGUCAAAAUCUGGCUUUUGCAAAUUUCACAAGGCCACAUGACCAUCCUCUCAGGGUCUCCGAGGUCCAUGUGAGUGGAGGCCUGAGAUUCGUAAACUUCACAGUGUAUCCUCUCCUGUGGGUAAAGUUGAAUACAAAGUCAGCAAGAGGGGCGCCUGGGUGGCUCAGUUGGUUAAACAGCCAACGCUUGAUUUCAGCUCAGGGCAUGGUCGUGUAGUUCGUGAGUUCAAGCCCCACAUCAGGCUCUGUGCUGAAUACCUGCUUGGUAUUCUUUCUCUCCUUCUCUCUCUGUCCCUCCCCAGCUCAUGUGUGCUCUCUC
Long non-coding RNA from Acinonyx jubatus (cheetah), 1670 nucleotides. RefSeq lists it as uncharacterized. The transcript has 3 exons. The record is from RefSeq and is a predicted model, not a curated record. Lineage: Eukaryota; Metazoa; Chordata; Mammalia; Carnivora; Felidae.